AAGUCGUAACAAGGUUUCCGUAGGUGAACCUGCGGAAGGAUCAUUACCACAUCCAAAAUCUUACAAACCCACAAGUGUGAAGUUGUGAUGAGGAACUUUCUUCAUUUUUUUUUUGAACCCCUUUUGAACUUUUUACCAAGAGAAUAAGCAAGACUAAAAAUAAAAUGAGAAAAGAGAAAACAACUUUUAACGGUGGAUCUCUUGGCUCGU
RNAcentral lists this unclassified non-coding RNA (210 nucleotides) under fungal sp. RNAcentral describes it as "partial internal transcribed spacer region". The stretch from base 1 to 46 matches the Rfam family "Eukaryotic small subunit ribosomal RNA", at positions 1786 to 1831 of the family's 1831-position model. Lineage: Eukaryota; Fungi. The record is from RNAcentral.